Molecule: non-coding RNA, 171 nt
Organism: Vicia faba (fava bean)
Lineage: Eukaryota; Viridiplantae; Streptophyta; Magnoliopsida; Fabales; Fabaceae
Source: the annotation of a GenBank genome assembly
AGGGAGAGUGAAGAAGUUUGGUGGUGGGGAUUGAGAGAGUUUUCCAGAUAUUUUUGGCCAACUAUUAUGUUAAUGCAGGGGCUGGUUUUUUGUAGCUGGUUUUCUGUAUUGACAGUUAAGGAGUAUGACGAUUUAGUUGCAAAUCGGUUAAGAGGGCUGCGAAUUGAAUGA